This 71-nucleotide transfer RNA is filed under the name Loxodonta africana (African savanna elephant). It matches the Rfam family "tRNA". From Rfam's summary of the family: Transfer RNA (tRNA) molecules are approximately 80 nucleotides in length. Their secondary structure includes four short double-helical elements and three loops (D, anti-codon, and T loops). Lineage: Eukaryota; Metazoa; Chordata; Mammalia; Proboscidea; Elephantidae. The record is from Rfam by way of RNAcentral.
GCAGUGGUGGUUCAGCAGUAGAAUUCUCACCUUUCAUGUGGGGGACCUGGGUUUGAUUCUUGGCCAACGUA